RNAcentral lists this long non-coding RNA (714 nucleotides) under Sus scrofa (pig). RNAcentral's name for it is "lncRNA (ENSSSCG00070014350.1)". Lineage: Eukaryota; Metazoa; Chordata; Mammalia; Artiodactyla; Suidae. The record is from RNAcentral.
CACCCGGCCUCUACCUACUGUGUAGCUAGCAGUCUCUGCUUUUAAGCCGGCAUCACAGCAAGACACCCUUGGCUUUCAAGGACAAACCAAGGGAGCAAGCAGGCCAACAGGCCAGACCUUUGUCAGGAACCCAGUACAGCCCAGGCAUGGGGUGGACUCAGCUCAGGACCAGAGAGGAGCCCCUGUUUCAGUAAAGAAGACAAGUACAAGGUGCCUGUGUGCUGUGAUCAUCUUGCAGGUUCCAGGAGUGGCUGCUGGCGAGCGUGGAUUUCCUUGAACUCUUCUCCUGUGACUCCGAGCCUGAUAUCCACACAUCUGUGCACGAAGCCCAGUGACUCAGACGGAAUCUGAUUGAAAUGCAUCUGUAUCCAAGUGGCCUGAUUUUUCAUCACCUGCCCUAGACUGAGGUUUUCAAGUUGGAAAUGUUUGCACCUGCGUGAUGUGGAGUAACCCCAGAACAGGUGACUAUUUACCGAGCAUUUUCCUCUCCCGAGGGGAUAAUUCCCCACAGACAUGAGGUGGUUCUGUGACAAUCGUUGUCUCCUUUUCCUUUGAUCUCUCUGACUCUGUGACAUGCUGUCUGGCCUCCCCUGUCCAGAUGAGAGAAGAGGGCCAGGCCCUUGGCAGGUGCAUUUUGUGGGCACUCUAUGUGAAGAACGGAUACAUCUCACUGACAGUGAGCAAACACCAUAUUCUUUCUAGAACAUUUAAGUG